GACCGGGGACCAAGAAACAUCCACAUUUGUCAAGGAGGAGAAUAGGUGAAAGAAAAUCACAAGGAGAUACCUGGAAUUUGACGAAGAUAUCGCGGAGAUGCAGGCAAGCAAAGAAGAAACACCACCCAGCGAAAAGGCAACCCGACUCGUCAAGGAAGAAUUCUUGAAAGGUGACAAGAUCAUCAGAUUGUAGCGGCACUCGUCGGCCCUCGAGUCAACUACCCGAAAAGUCAACAAUUGUAAACAAGGUCGAGAGUUCAGCGUCCGUUGGGAUGUUUCGAGAACAUCUUCAAAAUUCAAAUCCCAACGCCUUUCGUCAACUCCGACGCAUAUAAAUGUAGCGAACAGGGUUGCGAGGCAUUCUUGGUUAUCGAGUGACACGAGCAGUAGCAGUUAAGUCGAUACUUCCUUGCGCCGAUCUAUUAGUAACCGCGAAUCGAGACAACA
RNAcentral lists this unclassified non-coding RNA (447 nucleotides) under Bombus terrestris (buff-tailed bumblebee). RNAcentral describes it as "misc RNA ENSBTSG00005021769.1". Lineage: Eukaryota; Metazoa; Arthropoda; Insecta; Hymenoptera; Apidae. The record is from RNAcentral.